AGAGUUUGAUCAUGGCUCAGGACGAACGCUGGCGGCGUGCCUAACACAUGCAAGUCGAGCGGGGACUUCGGUCCUAGCGGCGGACGGGUGAGUAACACGUGGGUAACCUGCCUUGUAGAGGGGGAUAGCCUUCCGAAAGGAAGAUUAAUACCGCAUAACAUUAUUUAUUCGCAUGAAUGAAUAAUUAAAGGAGCAAUCCG
RNAcentral lists this ribosomal RNA (200 nucleotides) under uncultured bacterium. Its description in RNAcentral is "partial 16S ribosomal RNA". It matches the Rfam family "Bacterial small subunit ribosomal RNA", at positions 8 to 217 of the family's 1533-position model. The record is from RNAcentral.